RNAcentral lists this ribosomal RNA (269 nucleotides) under uncultured prokaryote. RNAcentral's name for it is "partial 16S ribosomal RNA". It matches the Rfam family "Bacterial small subunit ribosomal RNA", at positions 524 to 792 of the family's 1533-position model. The record is from RNAcentral.
UACGGAGGGUGCAAGCGUUGUUCGGAAUCACUGGGCGUAAAGCGCGUGUAGGCGGCUUGGUAAGUCGGAUGUGAAAGCCCGGGGCCCAACCCCGGAAUUGCAUUCGAAACUCCCAAGCUAGAGUCCUGGAGAGGAAGGCGGAAUUCCCGGUGUAGAGGUGAAAUUCGUAGAUAUCGGGAGGAACACCAGCGGCGAAGGCGGCCUUCUGGACAGUGACUGACGCUGAGACGCGAAAGCGUGGGGAGCAAACAGGAUUAGAUACCCCGGUA